AACGAACGCUGGCGGCAUGCCUAACACAUGCAAGUCGAACGAUUGCCUUCGGGUGAUAGUGGCGCACGGGUGCGUAACGCGUGGGAAUCUGCCCUUAGGUUCGGAAUAACAGCUGGAAACGGCUGCUAAUACCGGAUGAUAUCGCGAGAUCAAAGAUUUAUCGCCUGAGGAUGAGCCCGCGUUGGAUUAGGUAGUUGGUGGGGUAAAGGCCUACCAAGCCGACGAUCCAUAGCUGGUCUGAGAGGAUGAUCAGCCACACUGGGACUGAGACACGGCCCAGACUCCUACGGGAGGCAGCAUGGGGGAAUUUUGGAAAAGGGGCGCAAGCCUGACCCAGCAAUGCCGGGGGAGUGAUGAAGGCCCUAGGGUUGUAAAGCUUUUUUACCCGGGAAGAAAAUGACUGUACCGGGAGAAUAAGCCCCGGCUAACCCCG
RNAcentral lists this ribosomal RNA (433 nucleotides) under uncultured bacterium. Its description in RNAcentral is "partial 16S ribosomal RNA". It matches the Rfam family "Bacterial small subunit ribosomal RNA", at positions 29 to 505 of the family's 1533-position model. The record is from RNAcentral.